GUUGAAUAAAGCCAAAGCUGUCGUGAGGCGGUGUCGGAAAACCACGGAUCUCUUUGAAGGAGAUAGCCGGGUCACCUAC
Molecule: non-coding RNA, 79 nt
Filed under: Candidatus Electrothrix aarhusensis
Lineage: Bacteria; Pseudomonadati; Thermodesulfobacteriota; Desulfobulbia; Desulfobulbales; Desulfobulbaceae
Description: c-di-GMP-I riboswitch aptamer
Rfam family: c-di-GMP-I riboswitch aptamer
About the family: GEMM was predicted in a large-scale screen for bacterial structured RNA regulatory elements. Genes associated with GEMM are involved in a diverse array of functions, including chemotaxis regulation, signal transduction, secretion and chitin.
Source: Rfam by way of RNAcentral